CUAUAGGAAUGAGAGUACCAAUGCACCGGAUGUUGACAUCAGAGAAGUGUUAAUACAAGAUUGAGCCGCGCAGAAAAAGGUAUGGCUAAGGUGAUUGGCUGAAUUAAUUGCUGAAAUAAUGAUUAUUUCAAAGUAAAUUUAUCACUGUUUAAAAUGAAUGAUGGAUUGAAGAAGUACUGCAAAAAGUGAAGAAAUAAGAGGGGUUGAAAUAGGGGGUGGGUGUCAAUUUUGGGACUUGGAUUUAUUUGCUGCGGAUCGCUGUAAGUUGUAAACAAGCUCAAUUUUGACCUAUAAACGCCAUGGGACCCUAUGUAUUUCUAUUGAUUUUGUGUUAGUGCUUGGUAUGAACUUUCAAAUGUGACCAAGGAUAUGUCUGUAAGUAUAAUAGCAAACUAGCCAGGUGGGUUUAGGUUAACAUUGAGCCCUAUGGGAAAUGAAUUGGUACUCUUUUCCCUAUAGAGACCCUAUUUUUUAAAUGUUUUGUUGCUUAAAAAUUGAAAAAGGUUAAUUAUUUCAUAAUGAAAAGAGCAGAUAUAACAUUUUAAAACACUAGAAGUAAAAUUAAUACUGUAAGUGUAAAUUUGAGGGUGGGAGUGGCUGUCAUUUUCAAAAUAAGGGGGGGGGGGGGUACUGAAUGAGUGUAAAGGGUAAUAUAAGGGUGACCAGGCAAGAAUAAAAGCAAAAAAAUGUGGGGUUUUAUGGUAAAUUGGAUAAAAUAAUUGUUGAUCACCUGUGUUGCACUCCACUAUUUCAGUUCUUUGCUUGUAUAUUUAAUUUAAUUGUACAAGAUUUUUGAGAUAAAUCUUGACUGACCAGCUGUUCAAUAUAGAAUCUGGACCAAACUUAGGUUUAACUCAGACUUUUUUCUGAUAUUCUGUUAUUUUUGUGUGCUCCAUAUUACCAUUGACUUCUCAGAAGUGUCUAAAGUCUUUUUAAAUAGAUUAAAUGAUGCUAGCCAAUGCCAAUUUAAUUCGUCUGAGUUAUUUUUCAGCAGACCAUUUAUUGUACAUGGAUUGCGCAGCUUGAUCGAAAGAGUGAUUCGGAUCAAAUACUGCCUCCCAUACUUUUCAGCCAUCCUUGCAGAGGAGUUCCGCAGUCUUCUUUCAAGCCUGAAGUGGUCUCGUGCAAUGAGGUUGAUGUAAAAGAAGGUUUGCGUCACACACCCUGAGACUACAUCCACUGUCAACAGUGUCAGCAUCUGGAGGAUUUUCAUUUUUUUGCCUCCUCUGUCUUCGGAGAUGGUGGCACCAGGGCAGCGGAGUCAUUUUGUCCCUUUAUAACGCUGAUAGAGAGUCCGUAUCCAUCAGAUCCAUCAUGACAGAUAUUUUUCUUCAUGAUGCAGCAUUUGCCGAGGGAGAGAGCCUGAUACUCAGAUGAGCACAGUAUAAAUAUAAAUCAAAAUCCAGGACUCAAGUUUCAUACACAAUUAGAGCAGACCAUUUAUUGUACAUGGAUUGCGCAGCUUGAUCGAAAGAGUGAUUCGGAUCAAAUACUGCCUCCCAUACUUUUCAGCCAUCCUUGCAGAGGAGUUCCGCAGUCUUCUUUCAAGCCUGAAGUGGUCUCGUGCAAUGAGGUUGAUGUAAAAGAAGGUUUGCGUCACACACCCUGAGACUACAUCCACUGUCAACAGUGUCAGCAUCUGGAGGAUUUUCAUUUUUUUGCCUCCUCUGUCUUCGGAGAUGGUGGCACCAGGGCAGCGGAGUCAUUUUGUCCCUUUAUAACGCUGAUAGAGAGUCCGUAUCCAUCAGAUCCAUCAUGACAGAUAUUUUUCUUCAUGAUGCAGCAUUUGCCGAGGGAGAGAGCCUGAUACUCAGAUGAGCACAGUAUAAAUAUAAAUCAAAAUCCAGGACUCAAGUUUCAUACACAAUUAGAGGUAUGUAUAAGGUUCAUGAAAAACACAAAUUUGCCUAAUUCUGAGGUGAGUAAAAUUAUGAGUAUAGGAAUGAGAGUACCAAUGCACCGGAUGUUGACAUCAGAGAAGUGUUAAUACAAGAUUGAGCCGCGCAGAAAAAGGUAUGGCUAAGGUGAUUGGCUGAAUUAAUUGCUGAAAUAAUGAUUAUUUCAAAGUAAAUUUAUCACUGUUUAAAAUGAAUGAUGGAUUGAAGAAGUACUGCAAAAAGUGAAGAAAUAAGAGGGGUUGAAAUAGGGGGUGGGUGUCAAUUUUGGGACUUGGAUUUAUUUGCUGCGGAUCGCUGUAAGUUGUAAACAAGCUCAAUUUUGACCUAUAAACGCCAUGGGACCCUAUGUAUUUCUAUUGAUUUUGUGUUAGUGCUUGGUAUGAACUUUCAAAUG
Long non-coding RNA from Magallana angulata, 2292 nucleotides. RefSeq lists it as uncharacterized. The record is from RefSeq and is a predicted model, not a curated record. Lineage: Eukaryota; Metazoa; Mollusca; Bivalvia; Ostreida; Ostreidae. The transcript is spliced from 6 exons.